RNAcentral lists this ribosomal RNA (492 nucleotides) under uncultured bacterium. RNAcentral describes it as "partial 16S ribosomal RNA". It matches the Rfam family "Bacterial small subunit ribosomal RNA", at positions 29 to 507 of the family's 1533-position model. The record is from RNAcentral.
AGUGAACGCUGGCGGUAGGCCUAACACAUGCAAGUCGAACGGCAGCACAGUAAGAGCUUGCUCUUACGGGUGGCGAGUGGCGGACGGGUGAGGAAUACAUCGGAAUCUACUUUUUCGUGGGGGAUAACGUAGGGAAACUUACGCUAAUACCGCGUACGACCUACGGGUGAAAGCAGGGGAUCUUCGGACCUUGCGCGAUUGAAUGAGCCGAUGCCGGAUUAGCUAGUUGGCGGGGUAAAGGCCCACCAAGGCGACGAUCCGUAGCUGGUCUGAGAGGAUGAUCAGCCACACUGGAACUGAGACACGGUCCAGACUCCUACGGGAGGCAGCAGUGGGGAAUAUUGGACAAUGGGCGCAAGCCUGAUCCAGCCAUACCGCGUGGGUGAAGAAGGCCUUCGGGUUGUAAAGCCCUUUUGUUGGGAAAGAAAAGCAGCAGGUUAAUACCCCGCUGUUCUGACGGUACCCAAAGAAUAAGCACCGGCUAACUUCGUG